GGCUCAGACGGUAAAGCGUCUGCCUGCAAUGCAGGAGACCCGGGUUCGAUUCCUGG
This 56-nucleotide transfer RNA is filed under the name Bos taurus (domestic cattle). It matches the Rfam family "tRNA", at positions 9 to 63 of the family's 71-position model. Rfam says of the family: Transfer RNA (tRNA) molecules are approximately 80 nucleotides in length. Their secondary structure includes four short double-helical elements and three loops (D, anti-codon, and T loops). RNAcentral also lists the same sequence under 3 other names. Lineage: Eukaryota; Metazoa; Chordata; Mammalia; Artiodactyla; Bovidae. The record is from Rfam by way of RNAcentral.